Molecule: non-coding RNA, 307 nt
Filed under: Pongo abelii (Sumatran orangutan)
Lineage: Eukaryota; Metazoa; Chordata; Mammalia; Primates; Hominidae
Source: RNAcentral
AUUCAUCACUGAGGUGGAGGAGCAGAGACCCUCAGGGCCUGCCAGCUCUGAGCCUCUGGCCCACCGGACACCUUGAACUCCAGGCUUCCUGGCAGACCAGGCAGUGUUUUCGUACAAAGUGAAAAAGGUUCCAGGACUGAAGCCGCACAGGCCACUCCCACAGGUCACCAGAAACUAAGACGUGAGUGACGCCCGGCAGUGGCCGACUCUUUCGUGGUAGCUGCGCCCAUGACUUCUGGAGACAUCAGAGGCUUCCAGGCCCGUUUUCUGCAUUCAGCCACGGCCCACGCUUCCGGGUCUGGGGUCU